CGAGCGGGCAACUCUCCUUAACGUUCAUACCAGGACAGUAGAAAACAUACCUGAAUCGUUGGCAGCUUGGGUAUCUAUAAACCGUCGCACAAUAAUAAAAACAGAUCUCGGGGUAUUAUCUUUCACAGAGUCAUUAAGGAUCCAGCUUAUUAUUGGCACAUUGGUAAAGAAUUGUUCAUCUGCUACAUUGCACGGCAACUUCUGGACGGUACAGAAAGUGCGUAAGUGGGAGAGAGUGGAGGGGAAGGCAUCAGAAAGGACCUAGAGCUGGGACUCUUUCAAGGAUCACCCGUAGCACAACCACGCUAUGUAAAUGAACAAGGCUGUUGGUUCUAACAUUUUAGUGCCCCCCUUGUUAGAAAUCCCAUUCUGUUUUCCCCACUGGUUGCAGGUUAAUUUCUCUAACUGUUUCUAACAUUUUCACUGCACAAAUGUACAAAUCUCUUGUAUGAGACACAUUAGUAAAACAUGUUUUCACAGAAACUAUAGUUUUCCACCAAAAUAGAAGAUUAACUGGUUUCAGUCAUAAAAGUAAAAGGGUUUUUCUUGAAAGUGCAGCGCAAAAUAUGGAUAUUAUGUUACAAAAAAAUAUUUAAAAUAUUGUAUUUGGAUUGCUCUACAGGCUUUUAACAAUAAAUACAAGAACACUGCAAGUUAAA
Long non-coding RNA from Carassius gibelio (silver crucian carp), 659 nucleotides. RefSeq lists it as uncharacterized. NCBI's taxonomy places the organism in Eukaryota, Metazoa, Chordata, Actinopteri, Cypriniformes, Cyprinidae. The transcript has 3 exons. The record is from RefSeq and is a predicted model, not a curated record.